AUGAACGAGGCACUUCUAGCCCCGUACACACAAUAGGAGGUUAAAAGGGCGUUGUUUAGCAUCGGAGACAUGAAAGCCCCUGGCCCGGACGGCCUGCACGCCAUAUUUUAUAAGAAAUUUUGGCAUUUGCUGGGUGAUGAGUUAGUGAAAGAGGUUCCUGAAGCAGUAAACAACAAAGUAAUUCCAGAAGGAUGGAAUACCACUACCAUAGUUCUUAUUCCCAAAUUGGAGACUCCUGAAAAGAUCGCUCAAUUUAGGCCCAUUAGCCUUUGUAAUGUGGUCUACAAAGUGAUUGCAAAAAUGUUAGCUGCAAGGCUCAAGGUGUUCCUUCCAGAUAUUAUUAGUGAAAUGCAAAGUGUGUUUGUCCUAGGUCGUAUAAUCACUGAUAAUGUAAUUGUGGCCUAUGAAUGUUUACAUACUUUGAAGAAAGAGAAGAAGGGGAAAAUUGGUUGUUGCGCUGUCAAACUUGAUAUGCAUAAAGCAUACGACCGUGUCGAACGGGUGUUCUUGGAAGCCAUACUGAAGAAGCUGGGGUUCGAGAACCGUUGGGUUUAGUUGAUCAUGGCAUGUGUAACAUCCGUCCAAUAUAAGGUGAGAUUCAACUCAAGUAAGACCGAUCCUUUCCAUUCUACAAGGGGUCUAAGGUAGGGGGACCCCCUGUCCCCUUACCUCUUUCUCUUGUGCGCUGAAGGUUUAUCUGCAUUAAUUGCUCACGAGGAGGAAGUUGGAAAUCUGGAAGGAGUUCAGGUCUGUCGUGACUCACCAUUCAUCUCUCAUCUAUUCUUUGCUGACGAUUCAUUCAUCCUAAUGAAAGCAGACACUAUGAAUGCUACUACCCUGAAACGAGUUUUGGAUGAAUAUUGUAUUGUUUCAGGACAAUUGGUAAGUGUUGCCAAAUCAUCUAUAUAUUUUAGUCCGAGUACUAAGGUAGAAGACAAAGUUGAAAUCUGACAAAUAUUGGAUAUAAUGACCGAAUCUUUGUCUCACAAAUACCUGGGGCUCCCCUCUAUGAUUGGGGUUGACAGGGUGGACUAUUUUAAGCACCUUAUUGAAAGAAUUCAGAAACUUACAAAUGGAUGGAAAGAAAUAACUUUAUCCUAUGGUGGGAAAGAGGCAUUGAUAAAGGCGGUGGCUCAAUCCAUCCCCACCUAUGCGAUGGGGGUAUUCAAAUUCGAAAAAAAUUGUAAGGGGAUCAAUGAUGCUAUUUCACAUUUCUGGUGGGGAGAUGGUGAGAAUCAACGGAAAAUGCAUUGGUUUGCAUGGUGA
This 1266-nucleotide ribosomal RNA is filed under the name Triticum aestivum (bread wheat). RNAcentral's name for it is "partial small subunit ribosomal RNA". Lineage: Eukaryota; Viridiplantae; Streptophyta; Magnoliopsida; Poales; Poaceae. The record is from RNAcentral.